UAGGGAAUAUUGGACAAUGGGUGCGAGCCUGAUCCAGCCAUGCCGCGUGCAGGAAGAAGGCCUUCUGGGUUGUAAACUGCUUUUAUCUGGGAAUAAAAAACCCGUGCGCGGGGAACUGAAGGUACCAGAUGAAUAAGCCACGGCUAACUACGUGCCAGCAGCCGCGGUAAGACGAACCGUGCAAACGUUAUUCGGAAUCACUGGGCUUAAAGGGCGCGUAGGCGGGUGAUCAAGUCAAUGGGGAAAUCC
Molecule: ribosomal RNA, 249 nt
Filed under: uncultured Cytophagaceae bacterium
Lineage: Bacteria; Pseudomonadati; Bacteroidota; Cytophagia; Cytophagales; Cytophagaceae
Description: partial 16S ribosomal RNA
Rfam family: Bacterial small subunit ribosomal RNA
Source: RNAcentral